CGUAGGGGGCAAGCGUUGUCCGGAUUUAUUGGGCGUAAAGAGCUCGUAGGCGGCUGUUCGCGUCGGAUGUGAAAGCUCAGGGCUCAACCCUGAGAGGCCAUUCGAUACGGGACAGCUAGAGGUAGGUAGGGGAGGAUCGGAAUUCCUGGUGUAGCGGUGAAAUGCGCAGAUAUCAGGAGGAACACCGAUGGCGAAGGCAGAUCUCUGGGCCGUUACCUGACGCUGAGGAGCGAAAGCUGGGGGAGGCGAACAGGAUUAGAUACCCUGGUAGUCCCAGCCGUAAACGUUGAGUGCUAGGUGUGGGGCGGUCUUCAACCCGCUCUGUGCCGCAGCUAACGCAUUAAGCACUCCGCCUGGGGAGGUACGGUCGCAAGACUA
This 378-nucleotide ribosomal RNA is filed under the name uncultured organism. RNAcentral describes it as "bacterial SSU rRNA". It matches the Rfam family "Bacterial small subunit ribosomal RNA", at positions 526 to 896 of the family's 1533-position model. The record is from RNAcentral.